RNAcentral lists this transfer RNA (71 nucleotides) under Cavia porcellus (domestic guinea pig). It matches the Rfam family "tRNA". Rfam says of the family: Transfer RNA (tRNA) molecules are approximately 80 nucleotides in length. Lineage: Eukaryota; Metazoa; Chordata; Mammalia; Rodentia; Caviidae. The record is from Rfam by way of RNAcentral.
GGGGAUUUAGCUCAGCGGCAUAAGCGCCUGCCUUGCAAGCAGGCGGUCGUGAGUUCGAUCCUCAGUACCGA